AAGUAUACCACCGAAGUUCUGGGCACGAAAGUGCGGUAGGGGAGCAUUCCAUUCCGCGUUGAAGCCGAACCGUGAGGUUUGGUGGAGUGUAUGGAAAAGCAAAUGUAGGCAUGAGUAACGAUAAUGCGGGAGAGUAACCCGCACACCGCAAGACCAAGGUUUCCUGAUCAACGCUAAUCGGAUCAGGGUUAGUCGGGUCCUAAGGGUAAGCCGAACGGUGAUCUCGAUGGAUAAUCGGUUAAUAUUCCGAUACCGCCGAGCAACCGGAUGCAGUGACACAGAAGGAUAGGCAGAGCGUGGCGAUGGUAGACCACGUCCAAGCAGUGAGGCUGUUGUGUAGUGAAGUACGCACAACGGAAGGCUGGGCUGUGAUGGGGAACGAUUACGAUCGGUAAGCUGCUGAAUUCACGCUGGCGAGAAAAGCUGCUAGUACAUCCAAAGGUACCCGUACCGGAAACCGACGCAGGUGGGCGAGGAGAGAAUCCUGAGACGAACGGGAGAACCCUUGUUAAGGAACUCGGCAAAAUGACCCCGUAACUUCGGGAGAAGGGGUGCCUGCGAGAGCAGGCCGCAGAGAAUAGGCUCAAGCAACUGUUUAGCAAAAACACAGGUCUAUGCGAAACCGAAAGGUGAGGUAUAUGGGCUGACGCCUGCCCGGUGCUGGAAGGUUAAGAGGAGAGGUUAGCGCAAGCGAAGCUUUGAAUUUAAGCCCCAGUAAACGGCGGCCGUAACUAUAACGGUCCUAAGGUAGCGAAAUUCCUUGUCGGGUAAGUUCCGACCCGCACGAAAGGCGUAAUGAUUUGAGCGCUGUCUCGACAAUGCAUCCGGUGAAAUUGAAGUACCAGUGAAGAUGCUGGUUACCUGCGCCAGGACGGAAAGACCCCAUGGAGCUUUACUCCAGCUUGAUACUGGGAUUCGGUAUUGCAUGUACAGGAUAGGUGGGAGGCUAGGAAAUGGUAACGCCAGUUGCCAUGGAGCCAAUGUUGGGAUACCACCCUUGCAGUACUGGGUUUCUAACCAGCAGCCGUGACCCGGCUGGGGGACAAUGUCAGGUGGGGAGUUUGACUGGGGCGGUCGCCUCCGAAAGGGUAUCGGAGGCGCUCAAAGGUUCCCUCAGAAUGGUUGGAAACCAUUCGAAGAGUGCAAAGGCAGAAGGGAGCUUGACUGCGACACCGACGGGUGGAGCAGGUACGAAAGUAGGACUUAGUGAUCCGGUGGUAUAAAGUGGGAUUGCCAUCGCUCAACGGAUAAAAGCUACCCUGGGGAUAACAGGCUUAUCACUCCCAAGAGUUCACAUCGACGGAGUGGUUUGGCACCUCGAUGUCGGCUCAUCGCAUCCUGGGGCUGUAGUAGGUCCCAAGGGUUGGGCUGUUCGCCCAUUAAAGCGGUACGCGAGCUGGGUUCAGAACGUCGUGAGACAGUUCGGUCCCUAUCUGUCGUGGGCGCAGGAUAUUUGAAAGGCGCUGUCCCUAGUACGAGAGGACCGGGAUGGACGCACCUCUGGUGCACCAGUUGUCACGCCAGUGGCACAGCUGGGCAGCUAUGUUCGGAUCGGAUAAACGCUGAAAGCAUCUAAGCGUGAAGCCGGCCUUAAGAUAAGAUAUCCCACUGAGUCAAUCAGGUAAGACCCCUUGA
RNAcentral lists this ribosomal RNA (1635 nucleotides) under human gut metagenome. RNAcentral's name for it is "bacterial LSU rRNA". It matches the Rfam family "Bacterial large subunit ribosomal RNA", at positions 1184 to 2841 of the family's 2925-position model. The record is from RNAcentral.